UUUUUUAAGUACUACUUGGAGAAAAACAAAAAAUACCAAAAAGUUGAGCUGGGCAAGGGGAGUUGGAGCCUGGCUUGGGGGAGCCCAGCUCCAUGGGGUGCAAUAGGAAAAGUGUUGUGGAGUGGAGGGGCCCUGGCGUGUGUCCAGUCUCACCUUUAGCACAAGGAUGGACUGGAGGAGGAAGGGAAGGAUUUAGCCCAGCUGCAGCCAGUAGCUCAGCACAUUUCACGUUCUGUGUCGCGUGUUUGCUCACAUUCACAGCAUUGCUGGCCCAUGACUGAAAAGCCAAGCGUAGGUCUGAGCUUCUUGCAUCCUGGUCAUUACUGGGGUCAGUGUACGGAUGCGCAGCCGCCCGCGCAUGCUCUGGAAGGACUGGGGUAGCUCCUCGCAGCGUGUGAUGAAGACCCCCGCUCCUCUUCGCCAGGGCUUGCAGAAGCGUUUGCGAGAGCACCUUGCUUGUGCCAUGUGUGAGGUCCACAGGAGCUGCUCCGAUGUUGCUUGGGCUCCCAGAGCAGAUGUGCGGGAGGACAACAUCCUUGUCGUGGAUAGAUGAGGAGCAGGGCUGAAAACCAGGUCCUGGCAUGACUCUAGGCAGAGGCACCCAUAGGCAUGAGAGCAGCCCUGGCACUGCCCUUGGUGUGCAGAGGUGGCCUGGAGCUCCCAGGUGGGCAAGCAGGGGCUGCGGGCAGCUGAAAGAGAUAAACGGGGUGGGAGAGCCCAGCUUCCCCACCUGGCCCCAGGCUGGGGACGGGUGCUGGCUGCCCUCCCCCCUGCCAGGUGGCUUUAAUAGGGCAGAAGCUGCUGGAGCUCGCUCUUUAUUUCUCAUUUAAUAGCUUGCCAGGACUAGGAAGGGGAAGAUGGGCGGUGAAUUUUUUCCUUCUGGAAGGCUGCAAAGGUCUCUCCUGGUGCCCUGGAUUUUGGGCUGCAAGGUGCUGUGCUUGGACCUGCACUGACCUUGAGAAACUUGCCAUCGCUUUGGGGACCUGGCUGGAGCCCUCAGCACCUUCCAGUACCCUCCUUGGCUUCUGGAGCAGCAGCGUGAGCCCGGCAGGAUGCUGCUGGACGUGGACAUACCCCACUGCUCUUUGAAGUAUUGCUAACACAAGGGUCAUCAGCAGGCCUGGAAAGCAACUGGGAGCUUGGGCGCGUGGCGUAGGGCUCUUCUGGGGAGGAAGGAGAGGGAGGACAAUUCUUUCCCAAACAGCAGCACAGCUCAGAGGCUUCCUCUCAGCCCUGUGUUAUCGGAAUAUAAUGUUCCGACCGACAGCUCAGCGAAUGCAUCAGACCUGGGCAAGCCUCGGGUGAUGGCUUGUGUUUUUCCCCCCGAUGAGUCAGGCCGUGCAGAACAAAUAGUUUCUGCACUGCCCCAGCGCCGCGGCUCGUCGGCCGCUCGUGUGCUCCUGGAGGGAGGCUCCGGGUCAGCUGCGAUUUUUGCUCAGUUUCUCACUGAUUUUUGAAAUUGUUUCUCAUUUUUGUGGUGGUUUUGAGGCUUGGGUGGGGAGGUAUUAAAGCAUGAAGCAUUGCAA
Oxyura jamaicensis (ruddy duck) is the source of this 1526-nucleotide long non-coding RNA. RefSeq lists it as uncharacterized. NCBI's taxonomy places the organism in Eukaryota, Metazoa, Chordata, Aves, Anseriformes, Anatidae. The record is from RefSeq and is a predicted model, not a curated record. The transcript is spliced from 2 exons.